Molecule: ribosomal RNA, 250 nt
Filed under: uncultured bacterium
Lineage: Bacteria
Description: partial 16S ribosomal RNA
Rfam family: Bacterial small subunit ribosomal RNA
Source: RNAcentral
AACGAACGCUGGCGGCAGGCCUAACACAUGCAAGUCGAACGCCGUAGCAAUACGGAGUGGCAGACGGGUGAGUAACACGUGGGAACGUACCCUUCGGUUCGGGAGUAACUCAGGGAAACGUUAGAGCUAAUACCGGAUACGUCCGAGAGGAGAAAGAUUUAUUGCCGAGGGAUCGGCCCGCGUCUGAUUAGCUUGUUGGUGAGGUAACGGCUCACCAAGGCGACGAUCAGUAGCUGGCUGAGAGGAUGAC